GGGGAAUAUUGGACAAUGGGGGAAACCCUGAUCCAGCGAUGCCGCGUGAGUGAAGAAGGCCUUCGGGUUGUAAAGCUCUUUCACCUGAGACGAUAAUGACGGUAUCAGGAGAAGAAGCACCGGCUAACUCUGUGCCAGCAGCCGCGGUAAUACAGAGGGUGCUAGCGUUGUUCGGAAUGACUGGGCGUAAAGGGCGCGUAGGCGGCUUUUUAAGUCAGGCGUGAAAGCCCCGGGCUCAACCUGGGAAUAGCGUUUGAUACUGGAAGGCUUGAGUGCGGAAGAGGAGAGUGGAAUUCCUAGUGUAGAAGUGAAAUUCGUAGAUAUUAGGAGGAACACCGGAGGCGAAGGCGGCUCUCUGGUCCGCAACUGACGCUGAGGCGCGAAAGCGUGGGGAGCAAAC
Molecule: ribosomal RNA, 400 nt
Filed under: uncultured bacterium
Lineage: Bacteria
Description: bacterial SSU rRNA
Rfam family: Bacterial small subunit ribosomal RNA
Source: RNAcentral